RNAcentral lists this ribosomal RNA (253 nucleotides) under uncultured bacterium. RNAcentral's name for it is "partial 16S ribosomal RNA". It matches the Rfam family "Bacterial small subunit ribosomal RNA", at positions 524 to 776 of the family's 1533-position model. The record is from RNAcentral.
UACGGGGGGGGCAAGCGUUGUUCGGAAUUACUGGGCGUAAAGGGCUCGUAGGUUGCCAACUAAGUCAGACGUGAAAUCCCUCGGCUUAACCGGGGAACUGCGUCUGAUACUGGAUGGCUUGAGUUUGGGAGAGGGACGCGGAAUUCCAGGUGUAGCGGUGAAAUGCGUAGAUAUCUGGAGGAACACCGGUGGCGAAGGCGGCGUCCUGGACCAACACUGACACUGAGGAGCGAAAGCCAGGGGAGCAAACGGG